This 238-nucleotide long non-coding RNA is filed under the name Lathyrus oleraceus (garden pea). RNAcentral's name for it is "Pisum sativum (pea) long non-coding RNA (PSAT_LNC021243)". Lineage: Eukaryota; Viridiplantae; Streptophyta; Magnoliopsida; Fabales; Fabaceae. The record is from RNAcentral.
AAGGACAUGAUCUGUUGGGACCACUUCAAGUUUUCCUUGUUCUCAACAAAAGGGCCUUUGCUGGGUAGAUGCAAAAUAAACCAUCUAUACAACAAAGGGGUACAGGAAACGAUAGUCUCUUUCUUCUUCUGAGUCCUCACAUGGAUGGAGUAGUAAGUAUCAGCGAGAAGAGUAGGAAUAGGAUUAUGAGUCAGGAAGAUAUGAAUAGUAGCCAAGUCUACGAAUUCCUCCAUAUUUG